CCUACGGGUGGCAGCAGUAGGGAAUAUUGCUCAAUGGGGGAAACCCUGAAGCAGCAACGCCGCGUGGAGGAUGAAGGUUUUCGGGUUGUAAACUCCUUUUGUUAGAGAAGAUAAUGACGGUAUCUAACGAAUAAGCACCGGCUAACUCCGUGCAAGCAGCCGCGGUAAUACGGAGGGUGCAAGCGUUAUUCGGAAUCACUGGGCGUAAAGAGCGAGUAGGCGGGAUAGCAAGUCAGAUGUGAAAUGCUAUGGCUUAACCAUAGAACUGCAUUUGAAACUGUUAUUCUAGAGUAUGGGAGAGGUAGGUGGAAUUCUUGGUGUAGGGGUAAAAUCCGUAGAGAUCAAGAGGAAUACUCAUUGCGAAGGCGAGCUGCUAGAACAUAACUGACGCUGAUGCGCGAAAGCGUGGGGAGCAAACAGGAUUAGAUACCCGGGUAGUC
This 440-nucleotide ribosomal RNA is filed under the name uncultured bacterium. Its description in RNAcentral is "partial 16S ribosomal RNA". It matches the Rfam family "Bacterial small subunit ribosomal RNA", at positions 338 to 795 of the family's 1533-position model. The record is from RNAcentral.